UAGGGAAUCUUCCGCAAUGGACGCAAGUCUGACGGAGCAACGCCGCGUGAGUGAAGAAGGAUUUCGGUUCGUAAAACUCUGUUGUUAGAGAAGAACAGCGCAUAGAGUAACUGUUAUGCGUGUGACGGUAUCUAACCAGAAAGCCACGGCUAACUACGUGCCAGCAGCCGCGGUAAUACGUAGGUGGCAAGCGUUGUCCGGAUUUAUUGGGCGUAAAGCGAGCGCAGGCGGUCAAUUAAGUCUGAUGUGAAAGCCCCCGGCUCAACCGGGGAGGGGCAAUGGAAACUGGUUGACUUGAGUGCAGAAGAGGAGAGUGGAAUUCCAUGUGUAACGGUGAAAUGCGUAGAUAUAUGGAGGAACACCAGUGGCGAAGGCGACUCUCUGGUCUGUAACUGACGCUGAGGCUCGAAAGCGUGGGUAGCAAACAGG
RNAcentral lists this ribosomal RNA (429 nucleotides) under Bacteroidota bacterium. RNAcentral's name for it is "Bacteroidetes bacterium partial 16S ribosomal RNA". It matches the Rfam family "Bacterial small subunit ribosomal RNA", at positions 355 to 776 of the family's 1533-position model. The record is from RNAcentral. Lineage: Bacteria; Pseudomonadati; Bacteroidota.